GGGGACGCUAUGGAUUUGACGGGGCGAUUGAGGUAACCGUGCUGCGAGUUCCGGCGAUGUUCCGGGUUAUCAACGAUCAAACGAUUUACAUGCUAACAAUGUAAUCAAAGCUGACUUCUCAAGAGUUAGAACUCUUGCUGCUUAGUAUUUAAGCAGGUCACCUCUGUAUGACCAACUUGCCGUUGUGCAGGGGAAAUUAUGCAAGUUGCUGCGUAUGACGGUUGUAAAUACGCCUAAGAUUACAACCAAACUCGGCAGAGUCUAAUGUGCUUUAUCGGUAUGUAGGGAAUUGGUUCGUGCCACAAUAUCGACAAGAAUAACAGACCUACACUCGUAGAUGUACGUUUAUUUCCGUUUCGGACGUGAGUUCGAUUCUCACCGUCUCCACCA
Molecule: transfer-messenger RNA, 390 nt
Filed under: Candidatus Gastranaerophilaceae
Lineage: Bacteria; Bacillati; Candidatus Melainabacteria; Candidatus Gastranaerophilales
Also listed under: 2 other names
Description: RUG841 sp900313795 Standard tmRNA
Rfam family: transfer-messenger RNA
About the family: Bacterial tmRNA, also known as 10Sa RNA or SsrA, is named for its dual tRNA and mRNA-like properties. Its role is to liberate the mRNA from a stalled ribosome.
Source: RNAcentral